This is an RNA transcript of Pyrgilauda ruficollis (rufous-necked snowfinch), 1551 nucleotides long. RefSeq lists it as uncharacterized. Lineage: Eukaryota; Metazoa; Chordata; Aves; Passeriformes; Passeridae. The transcript has a single exon. The record is from RefSeq and is a predicted model, not a curated record.
AUGGUCUGUAAGGUUGGCAUGUCUUUAUAUUGUAUACAGAUUUUGCACGCCAAACUUGGCAGCUUUGAAAACGAUAAUGAGAAAAAGAAAACAAAAACAACAAAAAAAAAAAAAGAGGUGGUUUGGGGUUUCUUUGGGUUGGUUUUUGUUUUGGUUUGGUUUUAUAUUGUUUUGGUUUUUUUUUUCCUCUCGUGGCAUUUGUGGAGACUAAAGGUUGGGAUGUUGUUGUCACACACACUCACUCACCCACACAGCUACACACCAAGGAAGAAGAGUGGGAAUUCUUUUUUUUAUUUUUUUGGAGUCUUACUGAACUUAAUAAGAAGAAAUUGUGCUUUUUAUUGUUAAAAAGAGUAAAUAAAUAAAAAAAAAAACAAAAAGGACUACUUAAACAUUUCUCAUUUUAAGAAGAAAAGAAAAAAACUAAGACGUUUAUCUAGCACUUGUGACUUACCAAUAAUAGAGUUUAUUGUAUUUAUGUGGAAACAGUGUUUUUAGGGAAACUAUGCCGAACACACCAAGUAAACUGCCUGUGUCAUUAUUAUUAUUGUUAUUAUUAUUAUUUUCCUUUGGGUUGGUGUUUUUGCUUUGAUUUCUCGGCUGGGUGGGGAGGUUGGAUGCAACCCUUGUGUCAACACACAGAGUCAUUCAUUCCGAGGAGCUGGACGGAUGGAUGGAUGGAUGAGGAGGACUUUAAAGAGUUAACUCUUCAGCACAGCUGCGUUAACUUUUUUAAGAAAUUACUUUUACAUGAUGUAUUUUUGCUCGGUUUCACUUUAAGCAGUCGUGUACUGUGCAACACUGUGGUUUAAAAACGAGACUUUACAGCAAAAGGCAAAACGUGUUUCUUCAUUGUCAUGAAGUUGGGCUCGUUCUCAGCUCAUCUUCACUUUGUCUUUGAUAUUGAUGAUGAAAAAGAAAAAAAAGUAUCCUAUUGAAAGAAAAUAAAUUAACACUUUUUCUGUGCUCCAUAGUGGAGGCGCUAUUUUCCAAUUUAUGAGGAUGACAAACUUAUAUAUAUAAUAUAUAUAUAAAAGUGGGGGUGGGGAGGGGGGGGAGGGGUUGAAACAUUAUUCACCCGAGAGCUUAUUACAGAUAUGUAGUAUCAAAAAGUUGUAACGAUAUUAUAUUCUACUUUAUACCUAUACAUGCUCAGUAUGACGUCACCAUUGGUAGCAGCUACCGGUUUACGCUGUAAUUUAGACACAAUUUCACUCUUCUUGUAUGGACCCUACUUUCAGUGAUGGUAGCAUUCUUUGUGCUCAACUUUCCGACGGUCCUUUCUUUUAAACUGGUGGAGUUGGAAUAUUUUUCUCGUUCUUGUUUUUUCUUUCUUUGUUUUUAUUUUAUUUUUAUUUCUUUUCUCUUUAUUUUGUUUGGGGUUUUUUUUCUUUUUUUUUUUCUUUUCUUUUUUUUUUACUGGCCAAUGGUGUCUUUCUCUGACAGUACCGACUUCAAUUUCAACUUUAUUAGGAGUCCAGUAUUUUGUACCACAUUAUGACAACUUGUUAUUCUUGUGGUGUAAAUAAAAGAAAAAAGUUAAUUAUAGUA